GCCAACAAUCCAGAAGCAAGACUGCAAGAACGCCCGAACCCACGGAAGGGGUUGUAUUUAUUGGAUACCAAAACCAAACCGUACUCCGUGCGGUUGCGUUUGUUGAUUCACAAUAACUGAUCGGACCGCUUCCCAGGAAGCGGUAGGUCGUUCGACAUUCUGCCCUAUCAGCUUUCGAUGGUAAUGUAGUGGAUUACCAUGGCCAUAACGGGUAACGGAGAAUCAGGGUUCGAUUCCGGAGAAGGAGCUUGAGAAUUGGCUACUACAUCUAAGGAAGGCAGCAGGCGCGCAAAUUACCCGAUCCUGACUCAGGGAGGUAGUGACAAAAAAUAACAAUACCGGCUCUUUUUGGGGCUGGUAAUUGGAAUGAGAACGAGUUAAACCUUCUAUCGAGGAUCCAUUGGAGGGCAAGUCUGGUGCCAGCAGCCGCGGUAAUACCAGCUCCAAUAGCGUAUGUUAAAGUUGUUGCAGUUAAAAAGCUCGUAGUUGGACUUGUGUGCGCCGGAUGCGGCGAUCUGCGGCCAAAAGGUCGUUGCGAUCAGCCCGUCCUGGCGCCGUAAAAUUUGCAACUGAGUCGCCUCUGGUCUUAAUUGCUCGGUGGCGUCUGCUCGGUUGCUCGUUUACUGUGAGAAAAAUUGGAGUGUUCAAGGCAGGCGUGGAUUGCAACUGAACAUGUUAGCAUGGAAUAAUAAGAUAGGGCUCUGGCUCAUAUUUUUGUUGGUUUCUAGAGCGUGGGAGUAAUGAUUGAUAGGGACAGUUGGGGGUGCUAGUAUUCAGCGGCCAGAGGUGAAAUUCAUGGAUUCGCUGAAGACUGACUUAUGCGAAAGCAUUCACCCAAAGGAUGUCCUCUUUAAUCAAGAACGAAAGUUGGGGGAUCGAAGACGAUCAGAUACCGUCGUAGUCUCAACCAUAAACGAUGUCGACUAGGGAUUGGCGGUCGUUUUC
Molecule: ribosomal RNA, 945 nt
Filed under: Polymyxa graminis
Lineage: Eukaryota; Endomyxa; Phytomyxea; Plasmodiophorida; Plasmodiophoridae
Description: bacterial SSU rRNA
Rfam family: Eukaryotic small subunit ribosomal RNA
Source: RNAcentral